ACGAACCAGAGUAUACACAGCCAUUAAUCAGAACUCCAUUGUCAUGGAUCUCUUCUACGUACAGAGUCUCCGAAUAAACACACAGCAAAGAGAUUUUUAUCGAGGUACAAAGAGAGCCGGGCAGCACGGGCGCGAGACGAUUGAUCAGGUCCGCUUGACGGGGUCGAAGUUGGAGACGGCGACGACGGCCCCGGCGAUGCCGGCGAAGACGACCCCGCCGGACACGAUGCUGAGCAGGAAGUUCUUGAGCGAUGGGGACAGCCCCGGGGACGCGGCCUCCGCGACCUCGGGCAGCACCAGCGCCGCCGCCACGGCCGCCGCGGUC
RNAcentral lists this long non-coding RNA (325 nucleotides) under Hordeum vulgare. RNAcentral's name for it is "long non-coding RNA (HVUL_LNC002893)". Lineage: Eukaryota; Viridiplantae; Streptophyta; Magnoliopsida; Poales; Poaceae. The record is from RNAcentral.